Molecule: long non-coding RNA, 244 nt
Filed under: Bos taurus (domestic cattle)
Lineage: Eukaryota; Metazoa; Chordata; Mammalia; Artiodactyla; Bovidae
Description: long non-coding RNA NONBTAT023244
Source: RNAcentral
GCUGGCGCAGGUGGCAGUGUCUAAAAAGGCAUCACCUUUGAGGACCAGAUGUGGGGUUGGUAAGCACAGUUAUGAAAAUUUCUAUCCAGCCUCCGUUUUGAAUGGUUUUAAGAAAUUUUGUAUAUGGAGGACAUAGGAUGCCUUUGUUUUAUACAUGAUCCAAAUCUUUGUUUUACAUUUCUUUUAUCCAAAAUAUUUAGGCAUCUGACAUUUUCAACCAAAAUUUCAAUUAUAUACUGUGAUU